RNAcentral lists this ribosomal RNA (253 nucleotides) under uncultured bacterium. Its description in RNAcentral is "partial 16S ribosomal RNA". It matches the Rfam family "Bacterial small subunit ribosomal RNA", at positions 524 to 776 of the family's 1533-position model. The record is from RNAcentral.
UACGGAGGGUGCGAGCGUUGUCCGGAAUCACUGGGCGUAAAGGGCGCGUAGGCGGCGCGGAUAGUCGGCGGUGAAAGCCCGGAGCUCAACUCCGGGUCGGCCGUCGAUACUUCCGGGCUUGAGCACUGUAGAGGCAGAUGGAAUUCCGGGUGUAGCGGUGGAAUGCGUAGAGAUCCGGAAGAACAUCGGUGGCGAAGGCGGUCUGCUGGGCCGUUGCUGACGCUGAGGCGCGAAAGCGUGGGGAGCGAACAGG